This 1174-nucleotide long non-coding RNA is filed under the name Carica papaya (papaya). RNAcentral's name for it is "long non-coding RNA (CPAP_LNC010615)". Lineage: Eukaryota; Viridiplantae; Streptophyta; Magnoliopsida; Brassicales; Caricaceae. The record is from RNAcentral.
AUAAAGUCAAUGUCAAAAUUAUGGUUAAAAGUAGAGAAGUUAAAACCCUAUUCUUAAAAAGAGCUUGUGGUUAAAAGCUCAAGAAAAGAUACCAAUAAUUGAAGUCCUUAUGAACAUCAAGGUUCAAAAUUUGUACCUAUACUGUCAAUUGACAUCAAUUGUCCACAUGGGUCCUCCUCAACCCACAUCUGGAAAAACCAAAAGUAGUUUCAAGAAAAUAAACAGAGAAAAAUUGAAAUAAAAGUAAUUGGGUCCACUAAAAAUUUUUCCCCCUCAAUCAAUUUAUACCUGUGUAUCCAUGUUCGGAGAAAGAGAAAAGAUGGAGAACUGUAAUGACAUCCUCAAUUGCAACGCCACAGAAACAUUAAACCACCAAAAAAGAGUAAGAUGAGAGUGAAAAGAACAAAGAGAAAGAGGCUCAAGCAUAGUUAAGGAUUAUACCUUCAAAAGAAUCACUGGACCCUUCUUCCUGUUUGUGUGAUGAUAAAUUUAUAUUCGCAGUGCUUCUACUUUCUUUUUAACUACCUUGCUACCAUCACCUUUUAUAAUUCUUUUUCUUCCUCCUUAAGAGACCUAUCUUGAAAUCUGGAGUGUCAGUGCCAGUAAGCUGAGACAAAACAUAGGUCAAAAGCUAUGAUGAUUCUAUAGUAUGAGAUUCCAGACUUGUGGUGUUCAAUCCAAAACCAAAAGGAAACCCGCUUACUCCAUUUGUCCCAAGCAUCUUCAAUAUCAAAAGGCCAUCCAAAACUAAAAGGAAACCCGCUUACUCCAUUUGUCCCAAGCAUCUUCAAUAUCAAAAGGCCAGUAGUUCUCAAGGUCAUAGAAGAAGUGAGGUUCUUAUUUCCCACAAUAGACACAAUAGACACAAAUGCCAGAGAAAGAUUUAUGAACAAGAAGUUUAUAUACUUGAAGAACUCGCAAGUGGUUCUCAAAAGCUAGUAUAUACCAAUCCUUACUCUUCAACUUCGGUACAGAAACUAAAAAGGAAUCUCUUUUCACAAAGGAAAAGAUAUGUAGGGGCAUCCAAUGUUCCAAGAAGAGGCAACUCAUAUGAUAAAUGAUUAAAUUACAAUUUCCUCCAACAAUUUAAAGGAUGAGUGGAAUUUUAAGGCUUCAAUUUCCAAUCUAAACCAGUUUCUGCUAACCAAGAGUUUAGCAUCAAGCAGACAACAUA